GGGAUAUAGCUCAGUUGGUAGAGUGCUUGCUUCGAAUGCACACGUCCCUGGGUUCAAUUCCCAGUAACUAACA
RNAcentral lists this transfer RNA (73 nucleotides) under Marmota monax (woodchuck). RNAcentral's name for it is "tRNA.Ser". The stretch from base 5 to 66 matches the Rfam family "tRNA", at positions 6 to 65 of the family's 71-position model. Rfam says of the family: Transfer RNA (tRNA) molecules are approximately 80 nucleotides in length. Their secondary structure includes four short double-helical elements and three loops (D, anti-codon, and T loops). Further hydrogen bonds mediate the characteristic L-shaped molecular structure. tRNAs have two regions of fundamental functional importance: the anti-codon, which is responsible for specific mRNA codon recognition, and the 3' end, to which the tRNAs corresponding amino acid is attached (by aminoacyl-tRNA synthetases). tRNAs cope with the degeneracy of the genetic code in two manners: having more than one tRNA (with a specific anti-codon) for a particular amino acid; and 'wobble' base-pairing, i.e. permitting non-standard base-pairing at the 3rd anti-codon position. Lineage: Eukaryota; Metazoa; Chordata; Mammalia; Rodentia; Sciuridae. The record is from RNAcentral.